This 483-nucleotide ribosomal RNA is filed under the name uncultured Methanosaeta sp. RNAcentral describes it as "bacterial SSU rRNA". It matches the Rfam family "Archaeal small subunit ribosomal RNA", at positions 856 to 1338 of the family's 1478-position model. Lineage: Archaea; Methanobacteriati; Methanobacteriota; Methanomicrobia; Methanotrichales; Methanotrichaceae. The record is from RNAcentral.
UCAAAUGAAUUGACGGGGGAGCACCACAACGGGUGGAGCUUGCGGUUUAAUUGGAUUCAACGCCGGAAAUCUUACCGGGACCGACAGCAAUAUGAAGGCCAGGCUGAAGACUUUGCCGGAUUAGCUGAGAGGUGGUGCAUGGCCGUCGUCAGUUCGUACUGUGAAGCAUCCUGUUAAGUCAGGCAACGAGCGAGACCCACGCCCACAGUUGCCAGCGUACUCUCUGGAGUGACGGGUACACUGUGGGGACCGCCGCUGCUAAAGCGGAGGAAGGAAUGGGCAACGGUAGGUCAGUAUGCCCCGAAUAUCCCGGGCUACACGCGAGCUACAAUGGUUGGUACAAUGGGUAUCUACCCCGAAAGGGGACGGGAAUCUCCUAAAACCAAUCUUAGUUCGGAUUGAGGGCUGCAACUCGCCCUCAUGAAGCUGGAAUCCGUAGUAAUCGCGUUUCAACAGAACGCGGUGAAUACGUCCCUGCUCCUU